AGGGUUUGAUCAUGGCUCAGAUUGAACGCUGGCGGCAGGCCUAACACAUGCAAGUCGAGCGGUAGAGAGAAGCUUGCUUCUCUUGAGAGCGGCGGACGGGUGAGUAAUGCCUAGGAAUCUGCCUGGUAGUGGGGGAUAACGUUCGGAAACGGACGUUAAUACCGCAUACGUCCUACGGGAGAAAGCAGGGGACCUUCGGGCCUUGCGCUAUCAGAUGAGCCUAGGUCGGAUUAGCUAGUUGGUGAGGUAAUGGCUCACCAAGGCGACGAUCCGUAACUGGUCUGAGAGGAUGAUCAGUCACACUGGAACUGAGACACGGUCCAGACUCCUACGGGAGGCAGCAGUGGGGAAUAUUGGACAAUGGGCGAAAGCCUGAUCCAGCCAUGCCGCGUGUGUGAAGAAGGUCUUCGGAUUGUAAAGCACUUUAAGUUGGGAGGAAGGGUUGUAGAUUAAUACUCUGCAAUUUUGACGUUACCGACAGAAUAAGCACCGGCUAACUCUGUGCCAGCAGCCGCGGUAAUACAGAGGGUGCAAGCGUUAAUCGGAAUUACUGGGCGUAAAGCGCGCGUAGGUGGUUUGUUAAGUUGGAUGUGAAAUCCCCGGGCUCAACCUGGGAACUGCAUUCAAAACUGACUGACUAGAGUAUGGUAGAGGGUGGUGGAAUUUCCUGUGUAGCGGUGAAAUGCGUAGAUAUAGGAAGGAACACCAGUGGCGAAAGGCGACCACCUGGACUAAUACUGACACUGAGGUGCGAAAGCGUGGGGAGCAAACAGGAUUAGAUACCCUGGUAGUCCACGCCGUAACGAUGUCAACUAGCCGUUGGAAGCCUUGAGCUUUUAGUGGCGCAGCUAACGCAUUAAGUUGACCGCCUGGGGAGUACG
Molecule: ribosomal RNA, 881 nt
Filed under: uncultured Gammaproteobacteria bacterium
Lineage: Bacteria; Pseudomonadati; Pseudomonadota; Gammaproteobacteria
Description: bacterial SSU rRNA
Rfam family: Bacterial small subunit ribosomal RNA
Source: RNAcentral